UGAUGGUGCUGGUGCCUGCUUUUUCUGCUUCGACCAUGGCUGGAACACGCUUCAAGGGGUGAUUUAUUAGGCUUGGAUCAUAACUAUGAUCAGAUGAUGUUAAAAUCAUCACAACAAUUUAUGUUGAUAAACUAUUUGAUUUGGAUGAGAUGAUGCUAUUUGGGAAUGGAUCCAAAUAAUAAGCUCCAUGAUUUUGGUAUACCUCUCUCCUUCUCCAAUAAGUAGCUUUUCCUGAUGUUGGUUUGGUUUUGCUGUUGGUCCUGGUGAUCUUCUCCUCCUUGGGGUUGAAUCGACCCCCUCUAGGAUAUUAUCUCACCAUGGCUCUUGUUGCAGCUUCGGCUGUGAUCUUUAAUGUAGACUAAUGAGUUUCCUAAGUGACUGCCUGGGAAUGAUUUAUGGUUUUAGCUGUUGAUCUGAGAUGUGUUCUUGAGGUUCUUGAGCUGGUCAAUGGAUGUGUAUGGGCGUGAGGCUUCAGCAGCUCUUUUGAUCUGGUGACUUGCUUUUAUAUGGUGGCCUAGUGUUGCCUUUGGUCGACAGCACAACCCUGUGUUGUGUAAGCUGCAUGUGUGGCUGCUGGUUGCUUUGCUUCUAAGCAAAGUUGGAUAGGCUCGGCUGAAAAUAUCUACCUCUAUUUUAACUCUUUUAUUUUUUUAUCCUCUGCCAUUUGGCAUUACCAUUUGUUUGACUUUGUUGUGCAGGUUUCAAUUUGAGAAGAAGAAGAUGAUCAAGACUUAGUUUAGGCUUUUACUUUUGUUUUUCAGAACUUGAAAUUAUAUUUGUAAUUUCAUUUUUAUUUAUUCAUUUGUAAAAACAUUGUAUUAUUGUGUUAAUAUCAAUAAAGAAAUGCUUUCCUUA
Lolium perenne is the source of this 855-nucleotide non-coding RNA. The record is from RefSeq and is a predicted model, not a curated record. NCBI's taxonomy places the organism in Eukaryota, Viridiplantae, Streptophyta, Magnoliopsida, Poales, Poaceae.